RNAcentral lists this ribosomal RNA (491 nucleotides) under uncultured bacterium. Its description in RNAcentral is "partial 16S ribosomal RNA". It matches the Rfam family "Bacterial small subunit ribosomal RNA", at positions 29 to 506 of the family's 1533-position model. The record is from RNAcentral.
AGUGAACGCUGGCGGUAGGCCUAACACAUGCAAGUCGAACGGCAGCACAGUAAGAGCUUGCUCUUACGGGUGGCGAGUGGCGGACGAGUGAGGAAUACAUCGGAAUCUACUUUUUCGUGGGGGAUAACGUAGGGAAACUUACGCUAAUACCGCAUACGACCUACGGGUGAAAGCAGGGGAUCUUCGGACCUUGCGCGAUUGAAUGAGCCGAUGUCGGAUUAGCUAGUUGGCGGGGUAAAGGCCCACCAAGGCGACGAUCCGUAGCUGGUCUGAGAGGAUGAUCAGCCACACUGAAACUGAGACACGUUCCAGACUCCUACGGGAGGCAGCAGUGGGGAAUAUUGGACAAUGGGCGCAAGCCUGAUCCAGCCAUACCGCGUGGGUGAAGAAGGCCUUCGGGUUGUAAAGCCCUUUUGUUGGGAAAGAAAAGCAGCAGGUUAAUACCCCGCUGUUCUGACGGUACCCAAAGAAUAAGCACCGGCUAACUUCGU